AAUAUCCUCUUGGUCCUUCUCUUGAACUUGAGCACUUUGCUCAAUGUUCUUGCUUGUCCCUAUUGCCCUUACCCUUCUCCCAAGCCUCCAAAAAAGCCUCCCGUUGUGAAACCACCGGUUCACAAACCACCAAAACCAUGUCCACCACCCAAGUCAUCUCCAAAACCACCCCAUGUACACCCUCCCUAUGUUCCAAAACCUCCUCACUACCCUAAACCACCAGUUCAUCCACAUCCACCCCAUGUCCCAAAACCUCAUCCAAAGCCUCCAGUGCAUCCCCAUCCACCUUAUGUCCCAAAACCACCAGUUGUGCCAGUUACACCACCAUAUGUUCCAAAACCACCAAUUGUGAACCCUCCCUAUGUCCCAAAACCGCCUGUUGUGCCAGUUACACCACCUUAUAUCCCUAAACCACCAGUUGUGACACCACCAUAUGUCCCUAAACCACCAGUGGUGCCAGUUACACCACCAUAUGUCCCUAAACCACCAGUGGUGCCAGUUACACCACCUUAUGUGCCAAAACCACCCAUUGUGAAACCACCAAUUGUUUAUCCACCAGUUGUGCCAAAACCACCAAUUGUUACACCACCUUAUGUGCCAAAACCACCCAUUGUGAAACCACCAAUUGUUUAUCCACCAGUUGUGCCAAAACCACCAAUUGUUACACCACCUUAUGUGCCAAAACCACCCAUUGUGAAACCACCAAUUGUUUAUCCACCAGUUGUGCCAACACCACCUAUUGUGUAUCCACCUGUUGUACCAACUCCAC
Molecule: long non-coding RNA, 769 nt
Filed under: Glycine max (soybean)
Lineage: Eukaryota; Viridiplantae; Streptophyta; Magnoliopsida; Fabales; Fabaceae
Description: long non-coding RNA (GMAX_LNC002768)
Source: RNAcentral